GUGGAGCACAGGGGACCGCGGAUCAGCACAUUGCACAAAGCAUAACACACAGCAAAGCCUUUUCUGCAUCUCUCAUGUCACUGAAGAGCCAUCACUCUGAUCAGAAACUGAGAUCCUGCUUUGUGCUCCUCCAGUGUGGAAAUCUGUCAGAAAUGGCUUCAAGCAAGCCCCAAACACCCACCAGCAGACCAGAUGACAUGGCACAAACCACAGCCUUUUGCUCAAAGCCAGCUGAGAGACUGAAGUGAGGAAGGAUUUUGAGUUUCAUCCCUGCUGAACUGAGGAAGAUGGCAUGUGAGCUGACAUCACUGCAGAUCUAGGAAGGCACGGAAAAUCCUAACGGAGAGAACCUGGACUUUGGAAAAACAGCCUCACUUUUCUCAAAAGAAAAGAUGAAUCCACAGAGUGGAUCUUGCCACAGCAGAAGGAACAUGUGUCAUGGGAACAGCAGAGGCAAAAUGUGUCAUGGGAAAAUCUUGAUGGAUUCAGCCCAGGACGCGAAUAUGCAAAUUGAGACCAAAUUAAAUGCAAUUGAGCAAGAUAACACAUAUCCCAGCAAUGAAGAAAGCUCACAGCACACUCAUAAAAAAAGAUGGAGUUUAAAUCC
Cyanistes caeruleus (blue tit) is the source of this 607-nucleotide non-coding RNA. The record is from RefSeq and is a predicted model, not a curated record. Lineage: Eukaryota; Metazoa; Chordata; Aves; Passeriformes; Paridae.